Molecule: ribosomal RNA, 1423 nt
Filed under: Pediococcus acidilactici
Lineage: Bacteria; Bacillati; Bacillota; Bacilli; Lactobacillales; Lactobacillaceae
Description: bacterial SSU rRNA
Rfam family: Bacterial small subunit ribosomal RNA
Source: RNAcentral
AGUCGAACGAACUUCCGUUAAUUGAUUAUGACGUGCUUGCACUGAAUGAGAUUUUAACACGAAGUGAGUGGCGGACGGGUGAGUAACACGUGGGUAACCUGCCCAGAAGCAGGGGAUAACACCUGGAAACAGAUGCUAAUACCGUAUAACAGAGAAAACCGCCUGGUUUUCUUUUAAAAGAUGGCUCUGCUAUCACUUCUGGAUGGACCCGCGGCGCAUUAGCUAGUUGGUGAGGUAACGGCUCACCAAGGCGAUGAUGCGUAGCCGACCUGAGAGGGUAAUCGGCCACAUUGGGACUGAGACACGGCCCAGACUCCUACGGGAGGCAGCAGUAGGGAAUCUUCCACAAUGGACGCAAGUCUGAUGGAGCAACGCCGCGUGAGUGAAGAAGGGUUUCGGCUCGUAAAGCUCUGUUGUUAAAGAAGAACGUGGGUGAGAGUAACUGUUCACCCAGUGACGGUAUUUAACCAGAAAGCCACGGCUAACUACGUGCCAGCAGCCGCGGUAAUACGUAGGUGGCAAGCGUUAUCCGGAUUUAUUGGGCGUAAAGCGAGCGCAGGCGGUCUUUUAAGUCUAAUGUGAAAGCCUUCGGCUCAACCGAAGAAGUGCAUUGGAAACUGGGAGACUUGAGUGCAGAAGAGGACAGUGGAACUCCAUGUGUAGCGGUGAAAUGCGUAGAUAUAUGGAAGAACACCAGUGGCGAAGGCGGCUGUCUGGUCUGUAACUGACGCUGAGGCUCGAAAGCAUGGGUAGCGAACAGGAUUAGAUACCCUGGUAGUCCAUGCCGUAAACGAUGAUUACUAAGUGUUGGAGGGUUUCCGCCCUUCAGUGCUGCAGCUAACGCAUUAAGUAAUCCGCCUGGGGAGUACGACCGCAAGGUUGAAACUCAAAAGAAUUGACGGGGGCCCGCACAAGCGGUGGAGCAUGUGGUUUAAUUCGAAGCUACGCGAAGAACCUUACCAGGUCUUGACAUCUUCUGCCAACCUAAGAGAUUAGGCGUUCCCUUCGGGGACAGAAUGACAGGUGGUGCAUGGUUGUCGUCAGCUCGUGUCGUGAGAUGUUGGGUUAAGUCCCGCAACGAGCGCAACCCUUAUUACUAGUUGCCAGCAUUCAGUUGGGCACUCUAGUGAGACUGCCGGUGACAAACCGGAGGAAGGUGGGGACGACGUCAAAUCAUCAUGCCCCUUAUGACCUGGGCUACACACGUGCUACAAUGGAUGGUACAACGAGUCGCGAAACCGCGAGGUUUAGCUAAUCUCUUAAAACCAUUCUCAGUUCGGACUGUAGGCUGCAACUCGCCUACACGAAGUCGGAAUCGCUAGUAAUCGCGGAUCAGCAUGCCGCGGUGAAUACGUUCCCGGGCCUUGUACACACCGCCCGUCACACCAUGAGAGUUUGUAACACCCAAAGCCGGUGGGGUAAC